GUCGAGAAGACCCGACUGCGAAUGGCGGGGAGGAUGCUCCCGGCGGCGCGGGAACCGGGUCUGACUGCCGAGCCACCGCCGCUUCCGCAGGGGCGCCGGCCCCGGGAAAGUCAAGUCAUAAAUCCCCGAAUCUAAAACUCCAUCCUCAGAGAAAAGGCCUCCAAGGACGGGCACCGUGCGCGGCAACUGCCUGCAGUUUUGAAGCCCUUUGACUAUUUCAUAACAAAGACAAGGCCGGGCCGCUUGGACCCUUAGGAAAAUCCUGGGGCUUUGCAAAAACAACAGGUUAAUCUAGUCGUGUGGGAUGAUCACCAAAACAAGACAGGAAAGAAGAACACCGUGUCAAUGCUGAAAAGCCAGCCCCUAACACAGGGCUUCUACUCCAGGGUUUCCUCGCCAGGGAACCCCAAACACACAGGACCUGGAGAAGCCGGGUAGAGCUGGCUCCUGGCCCUGCGCUUGGGUGGUCGGCUGCCUUAAGAAGAACUGCACCCCAGAGACAGGCUCGCAGCUGCCGACCUUAUCCACUCGCCCUUCCUGCUGGGAGACUGAUGCCCACGGGGGACAGCUUGGGCUAAGGAUAACGUUUGCAAAACAAACCUUUGAAAACCCACAGCAACCUGUUUCCUAGAGCACACUCUUCAUCUCUCCACCCCCAAACUAGUCCCAACUCGGAUCCUCCUUUUCCUAUCCUCUUUCUCUUGCUCUCCCCUCUCCUAUUCACUUUUCCUCUCCUUUCCUCUUGAUUACUAUAAACAAAUGCUUUCCAAGUCUUACCGCCAUCAUAUGUGUACAUAUGCAACCCUUACUGUUACCAAUUUGUUGAAGUCAAGACAGGAGGAGGCAAAGU
This 850-nucleotide non-coding RNA is filed under the name Pongo abelii (Sumatran orangutan). The record is from RNAcentral. Lineage: Eukaryota; Metazoa; Chordata; Mammalia; Primates; Hominidae.